Cynoglossus semilaevis (tongue sole) is the source of this 1984-nucleotide long non-coding RNA. RefSeq lists it as uncharacterized. NCBI's taxonomy places the organism in Eukaryota, Metazoa, Chordata, Actinopteri, Pleuronectiformes, Cynoglossidae. The transcript has 3 exons. The record is from RefSeq and is a predicted model, not a curated record.
GCUACUGCUUGGUUGGAACAAAAACCUGCAGCCACAGCGGCCCUUGGUGGAACAGUUUGGGCACUGAUUUCUGUGCACGGGGACCAGGUCUAAGUUGUUUUGCAUCAGAGUUCACUCUGGAAACUGAAAGACAAGAUUUCAGAUGUCAUCCAAUCAUCCGAGAUCAAGAUCUUCAAUACAUUCAUUCACUGCACAUGGAAAUGAACUGCAGCAGCUCAGCUCCCACCAAGUCCUCAGCUGCUGACUCUUUGACUGGCCUGCGACAAAACACCACUAGUAGAAAAAGUCUUAUGAACAAGGAGACAGGGUGAGCAGCCUGAGGCCUAUUUUCUAGUCUGUGUGUUGUGUAAAAAAAAAGUGCAGUAACUGGAGGCCCAGAAUCUUCUCACCAUUACAAGAGGAAAACUUGACUGUCUGACCACCAUCUAUUAUUUACCGUCGGAUCAAAGCUGAGGGUGGAUGUGGGCCUGAGCAGGACCGUUAGCUCUGACAGGAUCUGUCUGUGUGGCUCACAAGUGUCGAGAACAUGAAAGCAGCAUGGAGGGACCGACAGACUCCAAGUGUGAUUCGAUGGCCUUAGUUUGUGUUUUCUGGCAGGAAACAGCAACUUCUUCUGACACCGCAACGAUUAUUUGACAUGUUUAAUCACAUCCUCUGUCUUCCUCUGUACUACUAGACGUGAUGUUAAAUAAUUCACUGUAACCUGUGUUAUUUUCAGAUUUUUCAGAUGUAACAAACAGGAGUAUAAAUCCAAAUGUAAGUGCUGGCAGAGGGAAGCAAAAAUAAACUAUUAUUAUAAAUAAAACUCAGCUUCCUGGAACGAAAUUGAGCUUCUCCAAAUUUUGAAUUCUGAGCAGAUGCCAAAUUAAUAGUUCUUUUCCUAUUUCUGCCAAAAGCACUGCAAAAUACCCUUCCAUUAGAGCUAAAACGAUAGCAGAAUUAUAAAUACUAAGUUGCUAAAAUAUUAUAAUAAAAUACGUGAACGUGAUUAGGCUGUUGCCGGUUGCUGAUGGUACGAGUUCUCUGUGUGAUAGUGUUGAGAUGAAGCUGCCGUCACAGACACAUUUGGAACUGCAGUGGCCUUAACUAUGAGCAAAUCAAGAUUCUCUUUCAAGAGUGAUUGAUUUUUACAUUUUAUUUCUUUGUUCCCUGCAAAGUAUUCAAACAUAAAAACAGAUUGCUGGUGCCAAAACAAUUACAUCAAUAAUAAACAGACAGUACUUAUGGCAGCUUGUGGUGUUUGAGAGAAACAUCUGGCCAACACCUGUAACUGCUUCACUGCUGUUUUGUCAAAAUCCACAGAGAAGUUUUUUUUUUAAUUACCAAGAAAAUGAUUUUAUGGCAAAAAAAAGUAGGAAUGGAUGAAAAGUAGGAACAUUUUGUCUCAUCACAAAUGUAACAGUUACAAAUAAAUGUGCUUUUACUCAUGUGUAGGGCUACGCUGUCAAUGUUCAUCCGAGGUUUCUGAUAAACAUUGUUUGUUGAAACUGCUGAAGAAAUACUGUUGAAUAAAAAGUUUUUUGUUUUUUUGUUUAUUAUCACGGAGCUGCAUGGAGAAUUUAGACAAAGCUAAUGGAGACACUGUAUGGACUUUUUUGUAAAUAUCCUUCACCCGAUGUGUGGUCGAGAACAAACUAGAUUCGAGUUUUUGAAGGAAAUGUAGAUAUUUGCUAAACUCUCAAGGUCUUUUCUCAUGGACACCAUAACAAAAAAAGAUUAAAUUUGAUCUUUUAGCCUUGUCAUUGUGAGUCUUAUAUACAAUGUGAACAUUGUAAUACAACUUUUUUUGUGUAUCAUGACCUAAAGUACAUUGAUGUUUUAAACAUUUUUGUAAUGAAAUGAAAGGUAGGGUGAGGUCUUAUACAUUGGAUAAACUCUAUCAUCAUAUCUUUAUGGAGCAGUGAACAGUGUUUAAUAAUUUGAAAUAGGAGGAUCCAUCCAUCCAUCCAUCCAUCCAUCUAUCUAUCUAUCUAUCUAUCUAUCU